This 453-nucleotide ribosomal RNA is filed under the name uncultured bacterium. RNAcentral describes it as "bacterial SSU rRNA". It matches the Rfam family "Bacterial small subunit ribosomal RNA", at positions 28 to 481 of the family's 1533-position model. The record is from RNAcentral.
GACGAACGCUGGCGGCGUGCCUAACACAUGCAAGUCGAACGAAGCAUUUAAGUGAAUCCCUUCGGGGUGAAGCUUUUAUGACUUAGUGGCGGACGGGUGAGUAACGCGUGAGUAACCUGCCUUUCAGAGGGGGAUAACAGUUGGAAACGACUGCUAAUACCGCAUAACGUGCUCGAGAGGCAUCUUUUGAGUACCAAAGAUUUAUCGCUGAUAGAUGGGCUCGCGUCUGAUUAGAUAGUUGGUGGGGUAACGGCCUACCAAGUCGACGAUCAGUAGCCGGACUGAGAGGUUGAACGGCCACAUUGGGACUGAGAUACGGCCCAGACUCCUACGGGAGGCAGCAGUGGGGAAUAUUGGGCAAUGGGGGAAACCCUGACCCAGCAACGCCGCGUGAAGGAAGAAGGCCUCGGUUGUAACUCUUUAGUCUAGGGACGAAGGACGUGACGGUACCGU